Molecule: unclassified non-coding RNA, 1388 nt
Filed under: Hevea brasiliensis (rubber tree)
Lineage: Eukaryota; Viridiplantae; Streptophyta; Magnoliopsida; Malpighiales; Euphorbiaceae
Source: RNAcentral
GCUUGCUGUUCACACUCUCUAUCUCUUGGGAAAUUUCGCGGGCGAGGAAAAUGACGACUGUGGUUCCUACUUCUGAGGAAGAUCCCGUCCUCUCCGUCGUCCGGUUUACGGCAGAGAUGUCAUGGGCGGACGCUGGCGCCGAGACUGCAGAGCCUGAAGUUAAUAGAUUGUGUGUCGAGGCCCAGAAAUGCAUGAUUGAAGGAAGGUGGUUGGAUUUGGUUUCGCUUAUGCUCGCUUCUGCAGAUAUAAUAUUUUCUAAAGCUUCUGAAAAAGAUCUUGAGUGCGUUUUCACAAUAAUGUGCAACCUUGUCAAGAAGCCUGAGAGCUUGGACCAAGUACAUGAGAUGGCAGAGCUCAUAUCCGCUAAAAUCAUUCAACAACCCAAUGAUAAACCCGCAUUGCGCUUGAAAAUCUUGUUCAAUCUCUACAAUUUGUUGGAGAACCCAUACAGCCGUUUCUGCGUUUACUUGAAGUCCCUCAAGUUGGCCACUGCCGGGAAAGUUACUGAACACAUUUUGUCGUCCAUCAAAAUGAUGGAUAACUUCUUGAAGGAGUGGAAUCUUGGAGUCAAAGAUCAGAGAGAGCUGUUUCUUGCAAUCUCCAACAUUUUAAAGGAAAGCAAAGGCUCUACAAAAGAUUCUUUCAUGUUUCUUACAAAGUAUCUGGAAACCUUUUCGUCUGAAGAUGCUUCUAAUAUGACUGAGGCUAAGGAAGAAGCUGCCAGUGCAAUUGUCGAUUUUGUCAGAUCACCUGAUAUGUUUAAGUGUGACUUGCUAGAUAUGCCGGCUAUAGUCCAGUUGGAGAAAGAUGGUCAAUAUGGUCCAGUAUAUCAACUUCUGAAGAUCUUUCUCACUCAGAGGCUGGAUGCUUACUUGGAAUUUGAGGCAGCAAAUUCAGCAUUAUUAAAAACCUAUGGACUUGUCCAUGAUGACUGUAUAUCAAAGAUGAGGUUGAUGUCGUUGGUAGAUCUUGGCUUGAAUGAAUCUAGUCAAAUUCCUUAUUCUGUCAUCAAACAGGCAUUGCAGAUUGAUGACAUUGAGGUAGAAUCGUGGGUUGUUAAGGCAAUUACAGCUAAGUUACUUGAUUGCAAGAUUGAUCAAAUGAAUCAAGUAGUAAUAGUGAGCCGAUGUACGGAGCGUGUGUUUGGUGUGCAUCAGUGGCAAGAUCUCCGCACGAAACUAGUGACUUGGAGGGGCAACAUUGCUGGUGUUAUCAGCACAGUUCAAGCCAAUAAGAUUACAGAAGAUAGCACACAGGCAGUGCAAGGUUUAGCAAUCCGCUGAGUGUUCUUUGUGGAAAUCUCUUUUUAAUUUUAGAGAUCGGAUUUAAUUGGGAUAUACUGUUCACAUCUUUUUCAGCUUGAAAUUUUGAUCAUCUUUUUUUUUUUU